GGGGGUAUAGCUUAGUGGUAGAAUGCAUGCUUAGCAUGCAGGAGGUCCUGAGUUCAAUCCCUAGUACCUCCA
RNAcentral lists this transfer RNA (72 nucleotides) under Camelus bactrianus (Bactrian camel). It matches the Rfam family "tRNA". Rfam says of the family: Transfer RNA (tRNA) molecules are approximately 80 nucleotides in length. RNAcentral also lists the same sequence under 1 other name. Lineage: Eukaryota; Metazoa; Chordata; Mammalia; Artiodactyla; Camelidae. The record is from Rfam by way of RNAcentral.